This 293-nucleotide ribosomal RNA is filed under the name uncultured bacterium. Its description in RNAcentral is "partial 16S ribosomal RNA". It matches the Rfam family "Archaeal small subunit ribosomal RNA", at positions 455 to 747 of the family's 1478-position model. The record is from RNAcentral.
GUGCCAGCAGCCGCGGUAAUACCGGCAGCCCAAGUGAUGGCCGCUGUUAUUGGGCCUAAAGCGUCCGUAGCUGGCCGCACAAGUCCGUCGGGAAAUCCGCCCGCUCAACGGGCGGCCGUCCGGCGGAACCUGUGUGGCUUGGGACCGGGAGGCCUGGGGGGUACGUGCGGGGUAGGAGUGAAAUCCCAUAAUCCCGCACGGACCACCGAUGGCGAAAGCACUUCGAGAAAACGGAUUCGACAGUGAGGGACGAAAGCCAGGGUCUCCAACCGGAUUAGAUACCCGGGGAGUCC